GAUGAACGCUGGCGGCGUGCCUAAUACAUGCAAGUCGAGCGAACAGACGAGGAGCUUGCUCCUCUGACGUUAGCGGCGGACGGGUGAGUAACACGUGGAUAACCUACCUAUAAGACUGGGAUAACUUCGGGAAACCGGAGCUAAUACCGGAUAAUAUAUUGAACCGCAUGGUUCAAUAGUGAAAGACGGUUUUGCUGUCACUUAUAGAUGGAUCCGCGCCGCAUUAGCUAGUUGGUAAGGUAACGGCUUACCAAGGCAACGAUGCGUAGCCGACCUGAGAGGGUGAUCGGCCACACUGGAACUGGGACACGGUCCAGACUCCUACGGGAGGCAGCAGUAGGGAAUCUUCCGCAAUGGGCGAAAGCCUGACGGAGCAACGCCGCGUGAGUGAUGAAGGUCUUCGGAUCGUAAAACUCUGUUAUUAGGGAAGAACAAAUGUGGAAGUAACUAUGCACGUCUUGACGGUACCUAAUCAGAAAGCCACGGCUAACUACGUG
Molecule: ribosomal RNA, 497 nt
Filed under: uncultured bacterium
Lineage: Bacteria
Description: partial 16S ribosomal RNA
Rfam family: Bacterial small subunit ribosomal RNA
Source: RNAcentral